Molecule: long non-coding RNA, 229 nt
Filed under: Gossypium barbadense (sea-island cotton)
Lineage: Eukaryota; Viridiplantae; Streptophyta; Magnoliopsida; Malvales; Malvaceae
Description: long non-coding RNA (GBAR_LNC015395)
Source: RNAcentral
UUGCUUGGGUUUUCUGCUAGUUUGGCUGUGGUGUUUGGCUUAUCUUGGGCAGACUUUCUUCACAGACUUGCUUGGGUUCUCUUUCGCUCGCUCUAUCUCUAAAUUUCUUUGGUGGAUUUCUCUUGGCGUGGCGGUGUUGUUGUUGGUGUUCUCUUUGUGAACAAUCUCGUCUUCACAGAUUCAUUAUCUUAUCGAUCUGCACCUAACUUGUAAGUCAUUUUUCUCUCAA